CAGUUACCACCUUUAUAUGUUCAUGUAGCAUCUCACUUUUCCCUACCCCCCUGGGAAGUUCCAGCUGUUCGGGUCUGUUCUUUCUCACUCCCUUGCUUGAAAGCUCAACUGCCUACGGUGGCUUCCCGCUCUCUUUUUCUUGAUCACUUCCACUCCCAUCUGUGUACACCGCUGUGUACACAGAUGGCUCUAAGUCUUCAGACGGCGUCGGAUUUCCAGCAGUGUUUCCGGACAGCGUCGUGCGGGGACAUUUACUAUCUUCAGCUAGCAUUUUACUGCUGAACUGUAUGCCAUUCUUGCAGCACUUAUUCGUAUCGCAUCUAUGCCUGUGUCAUCAUUUGUAGUAGUCUCAGACUCCCUUAGUGCUCUACAGGCUAUACGAAAAUUUGAUACAUCUCAUCCCCUAGUUCUCCAUAUCCAACUUUGGCUACGCCGUAUCUCUACCAAACAUAAAGAUAUUGUUUUUUGUUGGGUCCCUGGUCAUGUCGACGUACAGGGCAAUGAACAGGCAGACACUGCUGCGCGGUCAGCAGUACAUGACCUACCAAUUUCCUAUCGAGGUGUUCCAUUUCUGGACUAUUUUGCUGCAAUAGCUACCCACCUUCACACCCGUUGGCAACAACGUUGGUCAACUCUGCUCGGUAACAAACUUCAUUCUGUUAAACCGAGCAUAGGUUACUGGCCGUCUUCUUGUCAUCAGUGCCGAGGUUGGGAGACCACUCUCUCCCGCCUUCGCAUUGGUCACACUCGUCUUACUCAUGGGUAUCUCAUGGAGAGGCACCCUGUUCCUCUCUGUGAGCAGUGUCAAGUUCCAGUAUCGAUUAGCCACAUUCUGUUAGACUGCCCUCUCUAUCAACGAGCACGCAGAAUUUACCUCCAACGUCGUCUUCGUUCUACUUUCUCUCUCUUUACCUUCCCUUCUUGCUGAUGGACCCUCCUUUAAUCCUGACUCUCUCAUUGACUUCUUGACAACGACUGAUUUACUCCACAAACUCUGAUGAUACUUUUCGCACUCCCCUCAGCCCUUUCUAGUUCAGUCUCUUGCUGCCCUUUACCCUUUCACCAUCCACUGCCCCGCUGUUAUCCGUAACCUAUUACUCAUCCAUCUCCCUUUUGCCACCUGAUGCCCUCGCUUCCUUCCUGCCCUGCAGCGCUGUAUAGUCCUUGUGGCUUAGCGCUUCUUUUUGAUUAUAAUAAUAAUAAUACAAAUGGGGUGAAAAAUCCUUACCAUAAUUCAAAAACGGGUAUGGAUUGGUCUGUACAAAUGUUACGGCUGUUUUGUUUCAGAUGUGAUAAUAUACUGUAAACAUGAUUUGCCAGUUUUGUCCAUGUUAACAAAUACGUGUGGUUUUUAAAAGUCCUGGAACAUUGUUCUUUUUUCAACUAAUGUAUUUAGACAAAAUGAAUACACUUAGUCAAACCAUUAUGUAUGAAUAUCUAAAUAAAAAACAAUUCUAUUUUGUGAAAAUAAAGGAUGGAAAGGACUACUGGGUUAAAUUAACACUUUUCAAAAGUAAUCAUCAAAAUACAGCAUGUGAUUAUUUAGAAUAACAGUAUAUUAGUGGUGCUGCUAUUUUUAAAAUUACCAUAGUUAAUUAUAAUACUCUGUUUUUCUUUCUUACAUUCUGACAAAUUUAGGACCAUAAUGAGAGAAGUAUGGAGAAUCUGACAGAAAUUGUCCAAGGCUAGUUUUCAGAAGGCACGCACCAUCAAUAUUAAUCUGAAGAAAAACAGGGAACAUGAAUAUAGUGAUUAUGCACGUACCUUGAGAGCUAGUCCGAGGAUCCCAUUUAAUGCCAGUGAGCAGCCAAAGGCCCCGGUACUUAAACCUUCUCCAUUUCCAAUUUUAGUAAAAAAGCCAUUGCUUAAGAAGACAAAAACUGUUGGCUCUUCUUUUGCUCCUAAGUUUAUAAAAGGCAAGAGAGCAUUGGCUGCAGACUAUUUUUAAUCAAAUGUUAUACCAAGAACAUGAAACCACAGUACCAUAUAGGUACCUUUAUAUUUUAACAAUUACAUGUACUUCCCGACUUCAUUUGAGGUAAACAUAGAAAUCACUUUUCUGUAUUGUGACUAUAAUACCAUCUUGUAAGAUAUUUAGAAUAAAAUAAAGAAACAUA
Cherax quadricarinatus is the source of this 2117-nucleotide non-coding RNA. NCBI's taxonomy places the organism in Eukaryota, Metazoa, Arthropoda, Malacostraca, Decapoda, Parastacidae. The record is from RefSeq and is a predicted model, not a curated record.